Molecule: ribosomal RNA, 291 nt
Filed under: uncultured bacterium
Lineage: Bacteria
Description: partial 16S ribosomal RNA
Rfam family: Bacterial small subunit ribosomal RNA
Source: RNAcentral
GGAUGAGCCCGCGGCCUAUCAGCUUGUUGGUGAGGUAACGGCUCACCAAGGCGACGACGGGUAGCUGGUCUGAGAGGACGACCAGCCACACUGGGACUGAGAUACGGCCCAGACUCCUACGGGAGGCAGCAGUGGGGAAUCUUGCGCAAUGGGCGAAAGCCUGACGCAGCGACGCCACGUGGGGGAUGAAGGCCCUCGGGUUGUAAACCCCUUUCGGCAGGGACGAAGCGGUUCCGUGACGGUACCUGCAGAGGAAGCCUCGGCUAACUACGUGCCAGCAGCCGCGGCCGA